This 440-nucleotide ribosomal RNA is filed under the name uncultured bacterium. Its description in RNAcentral is "partial 16S ribosomal RNA". It matches the Rfam family "Bacterial small subunit ribosomal RNA", at positions 338 to 795 of the family's 1533-position model. The record is from RNAcentral.
CCUACGGGAGGCAGCAGUGGGGAAUAUUGCACAAUGGGGGAACCCCUGAUGCAGCGACGCCGCGUGAGUGCAGAAGUAUUUCGGUACGUAAAGCUCUAUCAGCAGGGAAGCACAUGACGGUCCCUGACUAAGAAGCCCCGGCUAACUACGUGCCAGCAGCCGCGGUAAUACGUAGGGGGCAAGCGUUAUCCGGCUUUACUGGGUGUAAAGGGCGCGUAGACGGCAGCGCAAGUCUGAAGUGAAAUCCCAUGGCUUAACCAUGGAACUGCUUUGGAAACUGGGCAGCUGGAGUGCAGGAGAGGGAAGCAGAAUUCCUAGUGUAGCGGUGAAAUGCGUAGAUAUUAGGAGGAACACCAGUGGCGAAGGCGGCUUACGGGACUGUAACUGACGUUGAGGCUCGAAAGCGUGGGGAGCAAACAGGAUUAGAUACCCUUGUAGUC